Molecule: ribosomal RNA, 1447 nt
Filed under: metagenome
Description: bacterial SSU rRNA
Rfam family: Bacterial small subunit ribosomal RNA
Source: RNAcentral
AGAGUUUGAUCCUGGCUCAGGAUGAACGCUGGCGGUAUGCCUAACACAUGCAAGUCGAACGGUGUCUUCGGACACAGUGGCGGACAGGUGAGUAACGCGUGAGAAUCUGCCUCUAGGUUGGGGACAACAGUUGGAAACGACUGCUAAUACCCGAUGUGCCGUAGGGUAAAAGAUUUAUUGCCUGGAGAGGAGCUCGCGUCUGAUUAGCUAGUUGGUGGGGUAAAAGCCUACCAAGGCAGCGAUCAGUAGCUGGUCUGAGAGGAUGAGCAGCCACACUGGGACUGAGACACGGCCCAGACUCCUACGGGAGGCAGCAGUGGGGAAUUUUCCGCAAUGGGCGAAAGCCUGACGGAGCAAUACCGCGUGAGGGAGGAAGGCCUUUGGGUUGUAAACCUCUUUUCUCAGGGAAGAAGAACUGACGGUACCUGAGGAAUAAGCAUCGGCUAACUCCGUGCCAGCAGCCGCGGUAAUACGGAGGAUGCAAGCGUUAUCCGGAAUCAUUGGGCGUAAAGCGUCCGCAGGUGGUUUUUCAAGUCUGCUGUUAAAGACUGGAGCUCAACUCCGGAAAGGCAGUGGAAACUGAGAAACUAGAGUUCGGUAGGGGUAGCGGGAAUUCCCAGUGUAGCGGUGAAAUGCGUAGAUAUUGGGAAGAACAUCGGUGGCGAUGGCGCGCUACUGGACCGAAACUGACACUCAGGGACGAAAGCUAGGGGAGCGAAAGGGAUUAGAUACCCCUGUAGUCCUAGCUGUAAACGAUGGAAACUAGGUGUGGCUUGUAUCGACCCGAGCCGUGCCGUAGCUAACGCGUUAAGUUUCCCGCCUGGGGAGUACGCACGCAAGUGUGAAACUCAAAGGAAUUGACGGGGGCCCGCACAAGCGGUGGAGUAUGUGGUUUAAUUCGAUGCAACGCGAAGAACCUUACCAGGGCUUGACAUGUCGCGAAUCUCCUUGAAAGGGGAGAGUGCCUUCGGGAGCGCGAACAUAGGUGGUGCAUGGCUGUCGUCAGCUCGUGUCGUGAGAUGUUGGGUUAAGUCCCGCAACGAGCGCAACCCUCGUCUUUAGUUGCCAGCAUUAAGGUGGGCACUUUAGAGAGACUGCCGGUGACAAACCGGAGGAAGGUGGGGAUGACGUCAAGUCAGCAUGCCCCUUACGCCCUGGGCUACACACGUACUACAAUGGUUGGGACAAAGGGCAGCGACCCCGCGAGGGAAAGCGAAUCUCAUCAAACCCAGCCUCAGUUCAGAUUGCAGGCUGCAACUCGCCUGCAUGAAGGAGGAAUCGCUAGUAAUCGCAGGUCAGCAUACUGCGGUGAAUUCGUUCCCGGGCCUUGUACACACCGCCCGUCACACCAUGGAAGCUGGUCACGCCCGAAGUAGUUACCCUAACCUUUCGGGGGGGGGGACUCCUAAGGCAGGGCUAGUGACUGGGGUGAAGUCGGAACAAGGUA